UGGAUGUAGGCGAAACUGCUGUAAGAGAACCACCAUCCUCCAUUGCACUAUUGGAAAAUCUGAAAGUGUUGUCUUUUCGUGGAAGUAAACCAAUAGCAUUUCAUUGGCUCUACAAGUGGUCCAUAUAUCGAAAAACACCUGAUCGUGUGGGUUUCUCAUUGCCUUCUUUAGAAGGUUUACACUCUCUAAAAGAACUAGACCUCAGUGACUGCAA
RNAcentral lists this unclassified non-coding RNA (214 nucleotides) under Hevea brasiliensis (rubber tree). Lineage: Eukaryota; Viridiplantae; Streptophyta; Magnoliopsida; Malpighiales; Euphorbiaceae. The record is from RNAcentral.